GAGUAAUGCUUAGGAAUCUGCCCAGUAGUGGGGGAUAGCCCGGGGAAACCCGGAUUAAUACCGCAUACGUCCUACGGGAGAAAGCAGGGGAUCUUCGGACCUUGCGCUACUGGAUGAGCCUAAGUCGGAUUAGCUAGUUGGUGGGGUAAAGGCCUACCAAGGCGACGAUCCGUAGCUGGUCUGAGAGGAUGAUCAGCCACAUCGGGACUGAGACACGGCCCGAACUCCUACGGGAGGCAGCAGUGGGGAAUAUUGGACAAUGGGGGCAACCCUGAUCCAGCCAUGCCGCGUGUGUGAAGAAGGCUUUCGGGUUGUAAAGCACUUUCAGCGAGGAGGAAGGCUCUGAAGUUAAUACCUUCAGGGAUUGACGUUACUCGCAGAAGAAGCACCGGCUAACUCCGUGCCAGCAGCCGCGGUAAUACGGAGGGUGCAAGCGUUAAUCGGAAUUACUGGGCGUAAAGCGCGCGUAGGUGGUUAGGUAAGCGAGAUGUGAAAGCCCCGGGCUUAACCUGGGAACGGCAUUUCGAACUGUCUGACUAGAGUGUGGUAGAGGGUAGUGG
Molecule: ribosomal RNA, 560 nt
Filed under: Marinobacter sp. NH89-47
Lineage: Bacteria; Pseudomonadati; Pseudomonadota; Gammaproteobacteria; Pseudomonadales; Marinobacteraceae
Description: bacterial SSU rRNA
Rfam family: Bacterial small subunit ribosomal RNA
Source: RNAcentral